RNAcentral lists this ribosomal RNA (98 nucleotides) under Trechispora nivea. Its description in RNAcentral is "partial 5.8S ribosomal RNA". It matches the Rfam family "5.8S ribosomal RNA", at positions 58 to 154 of the family's 154-position model. From Rfam's summary of the family: 5.8S ribosomal RNA (5.8S rRNA) is a component of the large subunit of the eukaryotic ribosome. It is transcribed by RNA polymerase I as part of the 45S precursor that also contains 18S and 28S rRNA. Lineage: Eukaryota; Fungi; Basidiomycota; Agaricomycetes; Trechisporales; Hydnodontaceae. The record is from RNAcentral.
UAUAGUAAUGUGAAUUGCAGAAUUCAGUGAAUCAUCGAAUCUUUGAACGCACCUUGCGCUCCUUGGUAUUCCGAGGAGCAUGCCUGUUUGAGUGUCAU